This 441-nucleotide ribosomal RNA is filed under the name uncultured Anaeroplasma sp. Its description in RNAcentral is "bacterial SSU rRNA". It matches the Rfam family "Bacterial small subunit ribosomal RNA", at positions 341 to 792 of the family's 1533-position model. The record is from RNAcentral. Lineage: Bacteria; Bacillati; Mycoplasmatota; Mollicutes; Anaeroplasmatales; Anaeroplasmataceae.
ACGGAAGGCAGCAGUAGGGAAUUUUCGGCAAUGGACGAAAGUCUGACCGAGCAACGCCGCGUGAACGAAGAAGUAUUUCGGUAUGUAAAGUUCUUUUAUCAGGGAAGAAAAAGUUAGAAUUGACGGUACCUGAUGAAUAAGCUCCGGCUAACUACGUGCCAGCAGCCGCGGUAAUACGUAGGGAGCAAGCGUUAUCCGGAAUUAUUGGGCGUAAGGGUGCGUAGAUUGCAAUUUAAGUCUCUUGUAAAAAUGCCGGGCUCAACCCAGUAGCGCAAGAGAUACUGAAUAGCUAGAGUACGGUAGAGGCAAGUGGAACUCCAUGUGUAGCGGUAAAAUGCGUAAAUAUAUGGAAGAACACCAGUGGCGAAGGCGGCUUGCUGGACCGAUACUGACAUUGAGGCACGAAAGCGUGGGGAGCAAACAGGAUUAGAUACCCUGGUA